RNAcentral lists this ribosomal RNA (440 nucleotides) under uncultured bacterium. Its description in RNAcentral is "partial 16S ribosomal RNA". It matches the Rfam family "Bacterial small subunit ribosomal RNA", at positions 338 to 795 of the family's 1533-position model. The record is from RNAcentral.
CCUACGGGAGGCAGCAGUGGGGAAUAUUGCACAAUGGGGGAAACCCUGAUGCAGCGACGCCGCGUGAGUGAAGAAGUAUUUCGGUAUGUAAAGCUCUAUCAGCAGGGAAGAAAAUGACGGUACCUGACUAAGAAGCCCCGGCUAACUACGUGACAGCAGCCGCGGUAAUACGUUGGGGGCAAGCGUUAUCCGGAUUUACUGGGUGUAAAGGGAGCGGAGACGGCCUGACAAGUCAGAAGUGAAAGCCCAGGGCUCAACCCUGGGACUGCUUUUGAAACUGCCAGACUAGAGUGCAGGAGAGGUAAGCGGAAUUCCUAGUGUAGCGGUGAAAUGCGUAGAUAUUAGGAAGAACACCAGUGGCGAAGGCAGCUUACUGGACUGUAACUGACGUUGAGGCUCGAAAGCGUGGGGAGCAAACAGGAUUAGAUACCCGGGUAGUC